CUGAGUGCCUUCUCCUCCUCCUCCUUCAACCGCGCCGCCUCCACCCUCAUCUUCAACUUGCGGUACUGGCGGCGGGCAAUGAGGCCUCGCACAUGGGCCUGGAUCUUGGUGACGGCCCACAUCUUAUUAUGGAAGUCUCGCCUCACCAGUGCCUAGAGAAGCUCAUAGAAUAGAGAAGCCACUCCACCUGCAAUGAGAUGAUGUGUCCUCGGAGGUGCUUGAAGCGGUGAGACACGACCCUUGAGCGGAUGAGCGCCUGGAGCCUCAUGUAGCCGACCCGCAUGUUCUGGUAGCGCCUCUUCUGGGCGUGGGCGCGGUAGUGCUUCUGGAUGAUGAUGGCGCUCUCCCUCAUCUUCUGGAACCUGUGAAUAAGAGGAGUUAGACCUUGGGGGAAACUUCUUAUGGGUGUGAUACAACGGAAGUGGUCGUUCUUACCUCCUGCGGUAGUACCAGCCCCUCACGCAGCGCUGGAGGAUGGUAAUCUUCCUGGUGAGGACUCGGUCACGCUCCUGCUCCAAGAACA
Molecule: long non-coding RNA, 523 nt
Organism: Eriocheir sinensis (Chinese mitten crab)
Lineage: Eukaryota; Metazoa; Arthropoda; Malacostraca; Decapoda; Varunidae
Exons: 3
Source: RefSeq, a predicted model, not a curated record